This 28-nucleotide small RNA is filed under the name Bombyx mori (domestic silkworm). Its description in RNAcentral is "ovarian small RNA-29411". Lineage: Eukaryota; Metazoa; Arthropoda; Insecta; Lepidoptera; Bombycidae. The record is from RNAcentral.
UCUAAGUAGCGCAGGACCGAUCGUUGUG